Molecule: small RNA, 555 nt
Filed under: Pan troglodytes (chimpanzee)
Lineage: Eukaryota; Metazoa; Chordata; Mammalia; Primates; Hominidae
Description: retained intron
Source: RNAcentral
UUUUGACAGGUUAACUUAGAGCUACCUGUAGACACCUACACAGAGUCAGUAGCAGCAGCAAUAAGACCAUCAUUUCAGCCCCUUCCCCUUCUCUCAGAUGCCAGGUCCAUGCACCCGUCCCUCUGCACCCUGUCUGUGUAGCUUUCUAAUCUCUGGCCGCUGACCUGGGCCACUAGCCGCCUCCCCACACUGAGAACUGACCCCAGCCCCCUGCCCCUAGGUUGUGCACAGGGACCUGAAGCCCAGCAACAUCCUGUAUGUGGACGAGUCCGGGAAUCCCGAGUGCCUGCGCAUCUGUGACUUUGGUUUUGCCAAACAGCUGCGGGCUGAGAAUGGGCUCCUCAUGACACCUUGCUACACAGCCAACUUUGUGGCGCCUGAGGUGCUGAAGCGCCAGGGCUACGAUGAAGGCUGCGACAUCUGGAGCCUGGGCAUUCUGCUGUACACCAUGCUGGCAGGGUGAGUGCCCCUGGCCUGGACCCUUCCCCACUCCUGCAGCCCUAGCACUUGGGCUGAGUGGUGCUUGUCUGAUAGGAAUGGCUCAGCCAGCCCCGC